CUACGGGACGCUCCAGUGAGGAAUAUUGCACAAUGGAGGAAACUCUGAUGCAGCAACGCCGCGUGGAGGAUGACACUUUUCGGAGCGUAAACUCCUUUUAUAUAGGAAGAAGGUGACGGUACUAUAUGAAUAAGCGCCGGCUAACUCCGUGCCAGCAGCCGCGGUAAUACGGAGGGCGCAAGCGUUACUCGGAAUCACUGGGCGUAAAGAGCGUGUAGGCGGAUUAAAAAGUCAGAAGUGAAAUCCUAUAGCUUAACUAUAGAACUGCUUCUGAAACUCUUAAUCUAGAAUAUGGGAGAGGUAGAUGGAAUUUCUGGUGUAGGGGUAAAAUCCGUAGAGAUCAGAAGGAAUACCGAUUGCGAAGGCGAUCUACUAGAACAUUAUUGACGCUGAGACGCGAAAGCGUGGGGAGCAAACAGGAUUAGAUACCCCGGUAGUC
RNAcentral lists this ribosomal RNA (439 nucleotides) under uncultured bacterium. RNAcentral's name for it is "partial 16S ribosomal RNA". It matches the Rfam family "Bacterial small subunit ribosomal RNA", at positions 339 to 795 of the family's 1533-position model. The record is from RNAcentral.